This 2700-nucleotide long non-coding RNA is filed under the name Cricetulus griseus (Chinese hamster). RNAcentral's name for it is "lncRNA (ENSCGRG00015039679.1)". Lineage: Eukaryota; Metazoa; Chordata; Mammalia; Rodentia; Cricetidae. The record is from RNAcentral.
GACAAACGCCGCUACCGGAAGCACAGCUUUUAAACCGUUGUACGCGCUUUGGCGAACCAAGCCGCAAGUUGGAGGCUUUGGCUGUACCGGCGAGCUAGUAUCAGUUUCUCUCCUAAGUUUCUUCGCAGCAGUGCUGCCUCGCCCUCCCGCGUGGUCCUCAAGGUGUAGGUGAAGUGGUUUGGGUUAUGCAAAUUACAGCGCUGCCUUCGAGGAGCUCAAGGACGCCCAGUUUUGCCGCCCUACGCCCGUGUGCUCCCCAACAAUUUGGCUUUGAAAGCUUUUGUAUUGAAGUUGUACACUGGUGAAAAUCACUGUUAAAGUGUCGAUUGGCUUCCUCCAUCGCGAUUGGGUGUUUACGGGAACUCUUCUGGGCAGGAAUGUGGGCCGAGGAGAUGGCUCAAGAUAACUCAGUAAAGGCACAUGUUUACAAGCCUGAUUACCUGAAUUCUGUCACACUGCAUAAUGGAAGGGGAGGACCCACUCCUGCAAGUUACCCUCUCAUUUCCACACACUCUGUGGCCCAUAAACUCAACACAUAUUAAAUAAAUGUGUUUUUUAAGUCACUUUUAAUAAAAUAGGAAAAUAGGAAACCAAGUGAAGAAAUAUACACUUGAUUCAUAUUAUUAUCCAUACAUUAACUGGAGGUAGUUACAUGGUGUGGGGUGGGGAUGGGGGAUUGUAUUGUUUGCAGUGUUAGGGAGGAACAGGGCCUCACACUUGCUAAGCAAGUGCUCUAAGACUGAGCUAGAACCCCCAACCCCAAGAUCUGUUUUAAAGUGACUCACCCAGAAGGCCAGGAAGCUAAAUUUAUACUUUGUUAUACAAAGCAUGUAUGGAAGCCUAUACCUAUCCUAGGUAUUGUGUGAGUGCUUUCUGUGAAUUAUCCAUGUCAUGAAGUUUAUCAGAGUAAACCUGAGACAAUCGUUACUCAUCUCAUUUUCUGAUGAGAUCAAGGUUGUGUUACAGAUUGGUUGAAGGGCCCAACAGUCAUACAUUCCCACUAGCUGUUAGGAAAAACAGUGCCAUAGACCUGGACACUUGAGAGCACUGGCAGGUCACUUCAGAGGGCAAGGAUAUUGAAAGAAAACAUUUACAUAUAUGAGUGGCAUUUUUGCAGGGUGGGGACACUGCUGGGCAUCAAACUGAGGGCCUCGUGCAUGCUAGGCAAAUGGUCACCACAUUACUCAGGAGAAGUGACAGACAGACACCACAACCUUGCGAUUUGUUUGGUGGGUUUGUUGCUUUUGUUGGUUUUUUUUUUUUUUUUUUUUUUUUUUCCUUAAGAGAAGAUUUCUCUAAGUGGCCCUGGCUGUCCUGGAGCUCACUCUGUAGUCAAGGCUGACUUCAAACUCAGAAGUCUGCCUGCCUCUGCCUCCCGAGUGCUGCUUUGUUUUGUGUGUGUGUGUGUGUGUGUGUGUGUGUGUGUGUGUGUGUGCCUAUGCUGUGUGUUCAGGUGCCUGUAGACGUCAGAAUGAAUUGUUGGGUUCCAGGUGGUUGUGAGCUGAAAGAUGUGGAUGCUGGGAAACAGACCUCAGGUCCUACACUGCAGCAAUAUGAGCUCUUAACUGGCAAGCCAUCUCUCCAGCCCCUUCACUGCCUCAUUACUGGUGUGCCUAAAGGCUCAAUACAGCAAAUUUGCAUCCGCUAAAUCCCUAGAACAAACCUGGACUUGAUUACAGGUCUGCCUCUAACAAAUACAAAAUGCCACGCAGAAAUAGGCUUUUUAACUUUUGUUAGGUAAGAAUACCUUUUUACAUCAUAAAGAAAUUAACUUCUCAGCACUCCAUCUUACAUUUGUACUUUGAGACCACCUAGCAGGUGAGAUCAAGAGCUUUGGAAUUCCCACGAUGUUUUGGUCCUUUGAGAGAUGGGUGUUAUACUCAGUGUCUCUAUUCACCCUACCCCCCUCUUCCUCAGGAAUCUUGGUCUAAAUGCCACUGAAACUAAUGUUAGAGAAGCAAGGAGACAGAGAAUAUUGAUGUCCUGCAGGACGGGACAACUGGUGCCCAACGUGUGGCCGGAUAGAGUUGGGGAUCUGGGAACUUCAGUGCUCAUUAGAGGGACAGGCCCGUCCAUGCAGUGAGGCGUCCACAACAAGGUCGAUCGUGAGCCUCAGUUGGAGGAAGACCCAGCAGCCUGCCCAGCGCUUGGGACUUCAUAGGUUCAUGAGCAUCACCUAUGUGGAAAAGACCCCAAACUCCUCUUCAGAUGUGCAUGAUGCAGAGGUGCACGUGCCACAGCCUUCCCCAUAAGAAGUCAGAAGACCACUCUGGAGCCCGUGCUCAUGCCAUCUUCAUCCGGGUUACAAGGAUUUCACUUAGGUGGCCAGAUUUGCAUGGUGAGCAUCUUUACCCACUGAACCAUCCAUCAUACCAGCCCUGGAUUUUGAUUUUUAUCAAUUCCCCAAAUUUUCCUUUUUUUCCAUUAGUCAUGUAAUCGGAUCACUUCUCCAGUAGUCUUCACUUGUGUGACUUUAGCCUCUACCAUGGUGGUUCUCAACCUGUGGGUAUCAAAUGACCCUUUCACAGGGAUAUCCUAAGACCAUCAGAAAACACAGACUGCCAGUACUGUGAGGAAAGAAGCAGGUAGCAUUUCAUGCUUUCCUCUGGUGAGACUACAGCCUCGGGUCAGCCAUGGCCAUUUAUGUAGUCAGCCAUGCCUGUAAGACCAUGGCCUACAGAAGUCCAGACAAGGUUCAGG